RNAcentral lists this ribosomal RNA (468 nucleotides) under uncultured bacterium. RNAcentral's name for it is "partial 16S ribosomal RNA". It matches the Rfam family "Bacterial small subunit ribosomal RNA", at positions 28 to 507 of the family's 1533-position model. The record is from RNAcentral.
GACGAACGCUGGCGGCGUGCUUAACACAUGCAAGUCGAACGGAAAGGCCCUGCUUUUGUGGGGUGCUCGAGGGGCGAAGGGGUGAGUAACACUUGAGUAACCUGCCCUUGACGUUGGGAUAACUUCAGAAAACUGGUGCUAUUCCGGGAUAAGAUUUCCUGCUUCUUGGUGGGGGUUGGAAUGUUUCGGCGGUUGGGGAUGGACUCGCUGCUCAUCAGCUUGUUGGUUGGGUAGUGGCUUACCAAGGCUUUGACGGGUAGCCGGGCUGAGAGGGGUACCGGGCACAUUGGACCUGCGCUACGGCCCAGCCUCGUCAGGGAGGCGAGGGUGGGGAAGAUUGCACUAUGGACUGAAGCAUGGUCUGGCACAGCCGCGUCGGGGAUAACGGCAUGCUGGUUGUAAACCGCUUUUGUCUGUGCCGGGGCGUGAGUGACGGUACCGGGUAAAGAAGCCCCGGCUAACUACGUG